GAUGAACGCUAGCUACAGGCUUAACACAUGCAAGUCGCGGGGCAGCAUGGGGGUUGCUUGCAAUCCCCGAUGGCGACCGGCGCACGGGUGAGUAACGCGUAUCCAACCUGCCCUUCACCACGGGAUAACCCGGCGAAAGUCGGACUAAUACCGUAUGUUGUCCAUUGACGGCAUCCGAUUUGGACGAAAGGCUUGGCGGUGAGGGAUGGGGAUGCGUCCGAUUAGCCAGACGGCGGGGUAACGGCCCACCGUGGCUACGAUCGGUAGGGGUUCUGAGAGGAAGGUCCCCCACACUGGAACUGAGACACGGUCCAGACUCCUACGGGAGGCAGCAGUGAGGAAUAUUGGUCAAUGGGCGUAAUCCUGAACCAGCCAAGUAGCGUGCAGGAUGACGGCCCUAUGGGUUGUAAACUGCUUUUAUGCGGGGAUAAAGUGGCCCACGUGUGGGCUUUUGCAGGUACCGCAUGAAUAAGGACCGGCUAAUUCCGUG
Molecule: ribosomal RNA, 490 nt
Filed under: uncultured bacterium
Lineage: Bacteria
Description: partial 16S ribosomal RNA
Rfam family: Bacterial small subunit ribosomal RNA
Source: RNAcentral